This is a non-coding RNA of Phrynosoma platyrhinos (Desert horned lizard), 72 nucleotides long. The record is from the annotation of a GenBank genome assembly. NCBI's taxonomy places the organism in Eukaryota, Metazoa, Chordata, Lepidosauria, Squamata, Phrynosomatidae.
UAGUGAAUGGCAUAGUGGUUUGAGUGCUGGACUGUGACUCUGGAGACCAUGGUUCAAUUCCCCACUUAGUGU